UAGUGUAACCGGUGGCAGGGAGGGACCCUCUGUAGUGUGCACGGGCUGAAUAUAAGGGUGAAUCCCUGCCGGAGACAGCAGAGCCUGGCACUGAAGAAAUGAGACCAGGAUCUGCAUGGACAAUACAGGCAGAGAUCCUUGCUUGACUUGUCAGUUGGCUACCAAUGAGUGAUGUGAAGAUUUCUGGUGAGCCCAGAGACAGACACUGCAGACGUUAAGGACAGCGAGUGACAGACCUGAGAGCAGCCAAGAGGUUUCAUCCGACGGCUUGUUUAGGCUCCUCAGGGAGAAGAGGCAGCAUGCAUUGGAACGUGGCCCUCCGGAGCGCCGGGCUCUGGGUCAUUCUGAGUUUAGCUGCUGGUCAGCUGACUGAGCAGGAGA
Molecule: long non-coding RNA, 381 nt
Organism: Sinocyclocheilus rhinocerous
Lineage: Eukaryota; Metazoa; Chordata; Actinopteri; Cypriniformes; Cyprinidae
Exons: 3
Source: RefSeq, a predicted model, not a curated record